This 255-nucleotide ribosomal RNA is filed under the name uncultured bacterium. RNAcentral's name for it is "partial 16S ribosomal RNA". It matches the Rfam family "Bacterial small subunit ribosomal RNA", at positions 16 to 263 of the family's 1533-position model. The record is from RNAcentral.
GACCUGGCUCAGGAUGAACGCUAGCUACAGGCUUAACACAUGCAAGUCGAGGGGCAUCAGGAAGAAAGCUUGCUUUCUUUGCUGGCGACCGGCGCACGGGUGAGUAACACGUAUCCAACCUGCCCUUUACUCGGGGAUAGCCUUUCGAAAGAAAGAUUAAUACCCGAUGGCAUAAUGAUUCCGCAUGGUUUCAUUAUUAAAGGAUUCCGGUAAAGGAUGGGGAUGCGUUCCAUUAGGUUGUUGGUGAGGUAACGG